Molecule: ribosomal RNA, 492 nt
Filed under: uncultured bacterium
Lineage: Bacteria
Description: partial 16S ribosomal RNA
Rfam family: Bacterial small subunit ribosomal RNA
Source: RNAcentral
GGUGAACGCUGGCGGUAGGCCUAACACAUGCAAGUCGAACGGCAGGACAGUAAGAGCUUGCUCUUACGGGUGGCGAGUGGCGGACGGGUGAGGAAUACAUCGGAAUCUACUUUUUCGUGGGGGAUAACGUAGGGAAACUUACGCUAAUACCGCAUACGACCUACGGGUGAAAGCAGGGGAUCUUCGGACCUUGCGCGAUUGAAUGAGCCGAUGUCGGAUUAGCUAGUUGGCGGGGUAAAGGCCCACCAAGGCGACGAUCCGUAGCUGGUCUGAGAGGAUGAUCAGCCACACUGGAACUGAGACACGGUCCAGACUCCUACGGGAGGCAGCAGUGGGGAAUAUUGGACAAUGGGCGCAAGCCUGAUCCAGCCAUACCGCGUGGGUGAAGAAGGCCUUCGGGUUGUAAAGCCCUUUUGUUGGGAAAGAAAAGCAGCAGGUUAAUACCCCGCUGUUCUGACGGUACCCAAAGAAUAAGCACCGGCUAACUUCGUG